GGUUCAGGAUGAACGCUAGCGACAGGCUUAACACAUGCAAGUCGAGGGCAGCAUAAAAGUAGCAAUACUUGGUGGCGACCGGCGCACGGGUGAGUAACGCGUAUGCAACCUACCUAUCAGAGGGGAAUAACCCGGCGAAAGUCGGACUAAUACCGCAUAAAACAGGGGCACCGCAUGGUGAUAUUUGUUAAAGAAAUUCGCUGAUAGAUGGGCAUGCGUUCCAUUAGGUAGUUGGUGAGGUAACGGCUCACCAAGCCGACGAUGGAUAGGGGAACUGAGAGGUUGGUCCCCCACACUGGUACUGAGACACGGACCAGACUCCUACGGGAGGCAGCAGUGAGGAAUAUUGGUCAAUGGGCGAGAGCCUGAACCAGCCAAGUCGCGUGAAAGGAAGAAGGAUCUAUGGUUCGUAAACUUCUUUUGCAGGGGAAUAAAGUGCAGGACGUGUCCUGUUUUGUAUGUACCCUGAGAAUAAGGAUCGGCUAACUCCGUGCCAGCAGCGGC
This 504-nucleotide ribosomal RNA is filed under the name uncultured bacterium. Its description in RNAcentral is "bacterial SSU rRNA". It matches the Rfam family "Bacterial small subunit ribosomal RNA", at positions 21 to 518 of the family's 1533-position model. The record is from RNAcentral.